CCUACGGGAGGCAGCAGUGAGGAAUAUUGGUCAAUGGUCGGGAGACUGAACCAGCCAAGCCGCGUGCGGGAUGAAGGUACAGCGUAUCGUAAACCUCUUUUGGCAGGGAAUAAAGGCGGGGACGUGUGCCCGGAUGAGUGUACCUGAAGAGAAAGCAUCGGCUCACUCCGUGCGAGCAGCCGCGGUAUUACGGAGGAUGCGAGCGUUAUCCGGAUUUAUUGGGUUUAAAGGGUGCGUAGGCGGGAUGGUAAGUCAGCGGUAAAAAUGCGGUGCUCAACGCCGUCGAGCCGUUGAAAAUGGCGUUCUUGAGUGGGCGAGAAGUAUGCGGAAUGCGUGGUGUAGCGGUGAAAUGCAUAGAUAUCACGCAGAACUCCGAUUGCGAAGGUAGCAUACCGGCGCCCUACUGACGCUGAGGCACGAAAGCGUGGGUAUCGAACAGGAUUAGAUACCCGUGUAGUC
Molecule: ribosomal RNA, 459 nt
Filed under: uncultured bacterium
Lineage: Bacteria
Description: partial 16S ribosomal RNA
Rfam family: Bacterial small subunit ribosomal RNA
Source: RNAcentral